GCCCGUCCCCUCCCGCCGCCCGACUCCACGAACGUACCUACCGGGUAACGGGACCGGAAGGCCGAGGUAACGGGAAAGUAAUUUAGGGUUCGAAUGGAGGCGAACUCUGAACCAGCCAUGCGCGUGCAGGAAGACGGCCCUACGGGUUGUAACUAGCUUUGUUACCGGAAUAAACCUUAGAUACGUGUAUCAAGCUGAAUGUACGGUAAGAAUAAGGAUCGGCUAACUCCGUGCCAGCAGCCGCGGUAAUUC
RNAcentral lists this ribosomal RNA (252 nucleotides) under uncultured bacterium. RNAcentral describes it as "partial 16S ribosomal RNA". It matches the Rfam family "Bacterial small subunit ribosomal RNA", at positions 302 to 526 of the family's 1533-position model. The record is from RNAcentral.